UACGAAGGGGGCUAGCGUUGCUCGGAAUUACUGGGCGUAAAGGGCGCGUAGGCGGACAGUUUAGUCGGGGGUGAAAGCCCGGGGCUCAACCUCGGAAUUGCCUUCGAUACUGGCUGUCUUGAGUACGGGAGAGGUGUGUGGAACUCCGAGUGUAGAGGUGAAAUUCGUAGAUAUUCGGAAGAACACCAGUGGCGAAGGCGACUCACUGGACACGUAUUGACGCUGAGGUGCGAAAGCGUGGGGAGCAAACAGG
RNAcentral lists this ribosomal RNA (253 nucleotides) under uncultured bacterium. RNAcentral's name for it is "partial 16S ribosomal RNA". It matches the Rfam family "Bacterial small subunit ribosomal RNA", at positions 524 to 776 of the family's 1533-position model. The record is from RNAcentral.